Molecule: ribosomal RNA, 2040 nt
Filed under: human gut metagenome
Description: bacterial LSU rRNA
Rfam family: Bacterial large subunit ribosomal RNA
Source: RNAcentral
AAACGAUAGGAUGAGGUGUGGGUAGGGGUGAAAUUACAAUCGAACGUGGAGAUAGCUGGUUCUCCCCGAAAUAGCUUUAGGGCUAGCCUCAGGUGGUGAUUACAGGCGGUAGAGCACUGAUCAGGAGAGGGACCUACCCGGUUACCAAACCCAGUCAAACUCCGAAUGGCUGUAAUCAAACCUGGGAGUCAGACUACGACUUAUAAGGGUCGUGGUCAAGAGGGAAACAGCCCAGAUCAUCAGCUAAGGUCCCAAAUGCCGUGCUAAGUGGCGAAGGAUGUGGCGUUUCAUAAACAACCAGGAUGUUGGCUCAGAAGCAGCCACCAUUCAAAGAGUGCGUAAUAGCUCACUGGUCGAGAGACGCUGCGCCGAAGAUGUCCGGGGCUCAAGCACGGAACCGAAGCUAUGGCAGAUUGCUUGCAAUCUGGGUAGGGGAGCGUUCUUAUCACGGAGAAGCGGUACCGUAAGGAGCCGUGGAGAGGUAAGAAGUGAGAAUGCUGGUAUGAGUAUCGAAAAGGCUGGUGAGAAUCCAGCCCACCGAAAGCCCGAGGGUUCCUGAGCAACGAUCGUCGUCUCAGGGUAAGUCGGGACCUAAGCCGAGGCAAAGACGCAUAGGCGAUGGAGAACAGGUUGAAAUUCCUGUACCGGAGCAGUCCGUCUGAGUGAAGGAGUGACGCAGCAGGGCACACGAGCAUGCGGUUGGAAGAGCAUGUCUAAGCCCGUAGCCCGUAUGGCAGGGAAAUCCGCCAUACAGAAGGGUGAGAGGUGAUGGGGAGUUAAAGGCAACUUUGACGAACUCGUGAAUCCCACACUGCCAAGAAAAGCUUCUAGCAAGGACUGAUCCGCCCGUACCGUAAACCGACACAGGUAGGUGAGGAGAGAAUCCUAAGGUGCGCGGGAGAACCCUCGUUAAGGAACUCGGCAAAUUGCAUCCGUAACUUCGGAAGAAGGAUGGCCCUGAGUAGGCGAAGAGUCAAGCACUUGGAACCGGAAAGGGCGGCAGAAAAGAGGCCCAAGCAACUGUUUACCAAAAACACAGGUGCCUGCGAAAGCGAAAGCUGACGUAUAGGUGCUGACGCCUGCCCGGUGCUGGAAGGUUAAGGGGAGAGGUUAGCGCAAGCGAAGCUUUGAACUUAAGCCCCAGUAAACGGCGGCCGUAACUAUAACGGUCCUAAGGUAGCGAAAUUCCUUGUCGGGUAAGUUCCGACCCGCACGAAAGGCGUAAUGAUUUGAGCGCUGUCUCGACAAUGCACCCGGUGAAAUUGAAGUACCAGUGAAGAUGCUGGUUACCUGCGCCAGGACGGAAAGACCCCAUGGAGCUUUACUCCAGCUUGAUACUGGGAUCCGAUGCUGUAUGUACAGGAUAGGUGGGAGGCUAAGAAGCGGUGACGCCAGUUGCCGCAGAGCCGAUGUUGGGAUACCACCCUUGCAGUAUUGGAUUUCUAACCAGCUGCCGUGACCCGGCAGUGGGACAAUGUCUGGCGGGGAGUUUGACUGGGGCGGUCGCCUCCGAAAGGGUAUCGGAGGCGCUCAAAGGUUCCCUCAGAAUGGUUGGAAACCAUUCGAAGAGUGCAAAGGCAGAAGGGAGCUUGACUGCGACACCGACGGGUGGAGCAGGUACGAAAGUAGGACUUAGUGAUCCGGUGGUAUAAAGUGGGAUUGCCAUCGCUCAACGGAUAAAAGCUACCCUGGGGAUAACAGGCUUAUCACUCCCAAGAGUUCACAUCGACGGAGUGGUUUGGCACCUCGAUGUCGGCUCAUCGCAUCCUGGGGCUGUAGUAGGUCCCAAGGGUUGGGCUGUUCGCCCAUUAAAGCGGUACGCGAGCUGGGUUCAGAACGUCGUGAGACAGUUCGGUCCCUAUCCGUUGUGGGCGCAGGAAAUUUGAGAGGAGCUGUCCUUAGUACGAGAGGACCGGGAUGGACGUACCUCUGGUGUACCGGUUGCAGACCAACUGCACAGCCGGGUAGCUAUGUAUGGAACGGAUAAACGCUGAAGGCAUCUAAGCGUGAAGCCGCCCUCAAGAUAAGAUUUCCCAUUCU